This 112-nucleotide ribosomal RNA is filed under the name Resupinatus vetlinianus. Its description in RNAcentral is "Lignomyces vetlinianus partial large subunit ribosomal RNA". It matches the Rfam family "Eukaryotic large subunit ribosomal RNA", at positions 1 to 110 of the family's 3401-position model. Lineage: Eukaryota; Fungi; Basidiomycota; Agaricomycetes; Agaricales; Resupinataceae. The record is from RNAcentral.
UUUGACCUCAAAUCAGGUAGGACUACCCGCUGAACUUAAGCAUAUCAAUAAGCGGAGGAAAAGAAACUAACAAGGAUUCCCCUAGUAACUGCGAGUGAAGCNGGAAAAGCUC